Molecule: ribosomal RNA, 467 nt
Filed under: uncultured bacterium
Lineage: Bacteria
Description: partial 16S ribosomal RNA
Rfam family: Bacterial small subunit ribosomal RNA
Source: RNAcentral
GAUGAACGCUGACAGAAUGCUUAACACAUGCAAGUCAACUUGAAUUUGGGUUUUUAACUUAGGUUUGGGUGGCGGACGGGUGAGUAACGCGUAAAGAGCUUGCCUCACAGCUAGGGACAACAUUUGGAAACGAAUGCUAAUACCUAAUAUUAUGAUAAUAGGGCAUCCUAUAAUUAUGAAAGCUAUAAGCGCUGUGAGAGAGCUUUGCGUCCCAUUAGCUAGUUGGAGAGGUAACGGCUCACCAAGGCGAUGAUGGGUAGCCGGCCUGAGAGGGUGAUCGGCCACAAGGGGACUGAGACACGGCCCUUACUCCUACGGGAGGCAGCAGUGGGGAAUAUUGGACAAUGGACCGAGAGUCUGAUCCAGCAAUUCUGUGUGCACGAUGAAGUUUUUCGGAAUGUAAAGUGCUUUCAGUUGGGAAGAAACAAAUGACGGUACCAACAGAAGAAGUGACGGCUAAAUACGUG